This 468-nucleotide ribosomal RNA is filed under the name uncultured bacterium. RNAcentral describes it as "partial 16S ribosomal RNA". It matches the Rfam family "Bacterial small subunit ribosomal RNA", at positions 28 to 507 of the family's 1533-position model. The record is from RNAcentral.
GACGAACGCUGGCGGCGUGCUUAGCACAUGCAAGUCGAACGGAAAGGCCCUGCUUUUGUGGGGUGCUCGAGUGGCGAACGGGUGAGUAACACGUGAGUAACCUGCCCUUGACUUUGGGAUAACUUCAGGAAACUGGGGCUAAUACCGGAUAGGAGCUCCUGCUGCAUGGUGGGGGUUGGAAAGUUUCGGCGGUUGGGGAUGGACUCGCGGCUUAUCAGCUUGUUGGUGGGGUAGUGGCUUACCAAGGCUUUGACGGGUAGCCGGCCUGAGAGGGUGAUCGGCCACAUUGGGACUGAGAUACGGCCCAGACUCCUACGGGAGGCAGCAGUGGGGAAUAUUGCACAAUGGGCGGAAGCCUGAUGCAGCAACGCCGCGUGCGGGAUGACGGCCUUCGGGUUGUAAACCGCUUUCGCCUGUGACGAAGCGUGAGUGACGGUAAUGGGUAAAGAAGCACCGGCUAACUACGUG